Long non-coding RNA from Carassius carassius (crucian carp), 1422 nucleotides. RefSeq lists it as uncharacterized. The record is from RefSeq and is a predicted model, not a curated record. Lineage: Eukaryota; Metazoa; Chordata; Actinopteri; Cypriniformes; Cyprinidae. The transcript has 2 exons.
GUUAUCUAUGAGACAGAUGAGACACGUGUGUUUAUCUGCUGCAGAGAGACUGAUGAAGAAAUGAUGCCAUCAAAGACUCUCGAUCUUUUGUGGUGGAGCAGGUGACAGCAGCAUCUGUGGAAAAAACCUGAAACCAAAAUAUAAAAUAUAAUUUCAGGAUCUGAAAUGUCUGCAGACUGCUGUGUGCACCGAGGAUGGAGAAGAUUGAGUGCCAUGGGUGAAAUGCUCCAUCACUGCAUCUCCUCUUGUUUUCUCAUCAGGACCAGAUGUUGCUGUGGUCUCUACAUCUUCAGUGACCCCAGAGCCAGUGAGAACAUCUAGAGAAAAACCAAAAGACACUCAGGAUGUGAUUUUGGUCAAGUUUGUUCUGCUGGUUUCUGUUCAUACAACAUCAGUCAAUAAACCUAAGUUUCAGAAGCUUCUAAAGCAUCAUCAAAUAAUGUCAUGAAGAAUCUGAAAGUCCAUUGACUGAUACUGUAUGAACACAAACCAGCAGGAGAAACCUGACCAAAAUCACCUUUUGUGUUUGGACAAAGGAUUGAACAGAAUGAAGGCACGUCAUUAAUGACUGAAUUUAUUUUUAGAUGAACUGACCCUUUAAAACCCCAAAUAGAAACUGUAUUAAAUAUAUGCACGCAUUAAUAUUAUAGUAGAACAUUGAAGAAAAAAAAGCUUUAAGAAAUAAGCAGCUUUAUUGAGCGUUUUUCUGCCCAAGACACAAAAAAAAAAUUCACAAAGUUCACAUUUACAUGUAUUUGUUUUUCAGACACUUUUAUCUGAAGUGAGUUACAGUGCUCUUAUUACAGGAUCUCAAUCCCUCUGGAGUCACCUGGAGUAAAGACACACGACUUAGGAGAUUGAUCCAGAAACCUUCUGCUGACCAGUCCAGUUCACUACACUACAGAAAUAAUGAAGCUAUAGCAAAUUAACAUGCAAUUGUAAAAAUAUACAAUUAAAUUCAGCAUUAAAUAGAAUGCUGACAACAUGACAAAGCGUUUUACUCUGUGUAAAUGUUUUCCAGGUAUUGGUGCUCAUGGUGAGCAGACACAGAUGUUUGGAGCAGACACAACAGCAGUCAGAUCGUCCCGCACAUGUUCUCCUGCUCUUGUUCAGGGUUGUGUGGUUCGGUCUUCAUCAUGGUCUUCCUCAUCCUGUCUGUGCACUCAGACAAGGACUCGAUGUCCCUCUCUCAUCAUGAUCAGAUUCAGUCUGACCGCAGCAGUGAGGGACGUGAUGGACGAAUGUGGGUUCACUGUCUGUAAAGAUUCAAAAACAGAACAAUGUCUGAAUAAAGUUUUGUUUCAUGUGUUGUUGACUUGUAUUUUAUUUAUUGUGACGGUUACUUUUAUUUAUUAUUUUACUUGUUUAUUCAUGUCUCCUGUUGUUGUCAUUAAAUAAAAUAUAGCCUAAUUGUUUCAUUAA